Long non-coding RNA from Prunus dulcis (almond), 404 nucleotides. RefSeq lists it as uncharacterized. The record is from RefSeq and is a predicted model, not a curated record. The transcript has 2 exons. Lineage: Eukaryota; Viridiplantae; Streptophyta; Magnoliopsida; Rosales; Rosaceae.
UCUCCUCUGUUGCACGUAGAGCAUCUGAGACCAGCACCUUAAUUCAGGAGGAGACCACGCACACCCCCCAAAAGCCUACACAAAGGAGAAACAGAAGGAAUAGAAAAGGACGCAUCAACAACAGGAACCCGCCAGACCUGUUGCCACCAGGUUUUCCUUUGGUUUUGAAAGUCCGUAAAGAAGCUAUGAAUUCCUUGAGUGGCAAUGGUUCUGAAAAACGAGGAAUGGUUUCAACAGUAGAUGCUGCAAAUUCGACUGCUUUGGAGAUGUUUUUUACAGUGUAGUUUGUUAAUAAACAUGCUCUGGUUUCAUUCUACUUUUUCAGUUUCAAAUCUGUCAUGAAAAGUAGGAUUAUGGAGUUUUCUACACUCCGUCCUCGUCAACAAUGUUUGAAGUGAUCCUUA